ACAUCUAAAUUUGAACUGCUCACUCCCGCACCCUGAGUGCACCUAUCAGCAAAAGACGAAAUGCUGCCAUUUCCCACCUGAGCAAAUCCCAGCAAGGAUGCACCCGGUGGUAUUUAACGACCCUUCGAUGGCGUGGAACUGGGCCGUCUUUUGACAUAUUACUGUCCCCAUCGAGGUGAAUGGUCUCCAGUUAAUGAACGCAUCACUAGAUUUAGAACACACACAGAGUUGCUUACCAAUUCAUCAGUGAUUAACAACAAUCUUUAAGGUUAAAAAGAAAGCAUCAGGAUUAUCAGUAGAAUAAACACAAAAGUAAAUUCGAAAAUUUUAUCACAUCAAGUCAAUUCCAUUUUCUACAUGCCCAAAACAGUCUGAACACCUGUUUUUUACACUUUGUCACACCAGUUGUCAACGUGCUCUCCAAGUGUGGUGAGAGCUUCACAAAUUAAAGCUUGAAUUCAUUUUUGUAUCCUCUGGAACUAAUACCAUGCUUGGCACAUAACCCUGUGAAGGUUUGUCUAGGAAUGGCCAGAGGAACAGUUUGCAGCCAUUAGUGCUGUAGCUACAAAAAGUAUAAAACCAACUCCUGCCUUCCAGGUACUUAUAUUAACUAGUAUGUAAUUUUAUGUGAUUUACUGUAGUAAUUAGUAAGCUGAACUUGGCUGAGACAAAACCCAAAGACUUUAACUACUUUCGUUUCACCAAAAGCAGAACCCUGAGGGGAAGAAAAAAAAAAAAAAGAAUAUUCUAGCAAUAAUCCACCAAAAGGAAAUUCCCAAAGAAAUGGCAAAGAAACCCUCCUUUCAUCUUAAAUGUCUUUUUUCUUAUCCUUCCAAACAAUACCUAAAAAAUGAACUUAUGUUCAUUUUCAAUUUUAAGAGUGAUACUGUGUUUAUUUUGAACUGCUCACACUGGCAACAUUAAUGGCAUUUUGCUACACAGUGACAGGAAAACAGCAGUCACUACUCUUUGAAUAAAUAUAAACAGUUGGAAGAUGAUCCUAUUUCCUGAUGAGUGGCAACUUCCAGGUUGUUAGUUAAAUGCUAACAAAGGUUGUGAUAAGAAAGUAAAUGAAGAAAAGAUAGUUGACAUGAUGCUACCAUUACUUUUAAGUUUCCUUUCCUUACACAAGUCACCAGUAAAUCUCAGUCCUCAUCUGGAGAUAAAACCUACUUCACAGGGCUGUUAUGAUGAUUAAGUGAACACACACACAUCCAUCAGUGAAGUGUUUGGUCCCUACAUCAUUGCAAAGGCCCAUUAACUUGCCAAAUUUCGUAUACUAUGCGAUCCGGAACGAGUGUUUCACACAUUACUCUCCCCAAGCCAGCCAAAUGGUCAUGCGCUGGAGCCCUGCUGGAGCUGUAUUCCUGACACUACAUACUGUGCAGACAUAUAGAGAGUGUACGCACAUAUACAGCACAUGCACAGAGUGUCCACACAUACAAAGAUAGUUACAUGUGCACACAUAAUAUAGCCAUAUAUAUCCUUACGGUGGAUACACAUAUAGUUUAGUGUUCAUAUAUACAUAUUAUGCAGACAUAUACAGAGUGUAUGCACAUAUACAGCACAUGCAUAGUGUGUCCACACAUACAGAGAAACAGCCAUAUAUAUCCUUACAGUGGAUACACACGUAGUUUACACACAGUGUUCAUACAUAUAUAAUGCAGCAUGGAUACACAGCAUCUAUGGCAUGUAUACAUGCAUACACACAAUGAACAUAUGCACUAACAUUAACCAUAAUGUAUACACUAUGUACAUACAGAGUAUAUGCACAUCAUACAUGCAUAGAAUGUAUGUAUAUAUAUACAUAUAGUGCAUGUAUGAAAUAUAUGUAAUGCACACAUAUACACAUAUAGUGUAUUUUUAUAGCAUAUAUACAGUGUAAAUGCACACAAUGUACACAUACACAUGUGUGCAUGUAGUAUAUGUUAUACAUACAAUGUACAUGCAUAAACACAUAUAUAAUAUACAGGCCACAUAUGUGCAGAGUGGUUAUGGUAUCUGUGCAUACAUACAAAUGUGCACACAUAUGCACAAUAUUAAUUCUCCUGAUCCAUGAACACACUUUAUCUUCCCAUUUAUUUUGCCUUCCUGAGUUUCAAAGUCUUACAUUUACCACUGCCAGUUCCUUCCCUUCCUUGGCUAAAUUUACAUGUGCAAGUAUAAUACACAUGUACAUGGUACAGACACACGUGUACAAUGUAUGCAUGGUACCUAUGGACAUACAACACCCACAUAGUAUACAAACACACAUGUGCCACACACACAUGGUACAUAUGCAUACCUACAAGGCACAUACACCUAGGGUAUGAGAGUCUCUAGUUCCAUCCAUGUUGCUGCAAAUGGCAUUAUUUUGUUCUUUUUUAUGGCUGAGUAGUAUUCCAUUGUGUAUAUAUACUACAUCUUCCUAAUCCAGGAGCUUGGGAUAAUAGAUGCAGACUAUUGCCUCUGGAAUGGAUUAGCAAUGAGAUCCUGCUGUGUGGCACUGGGAACUAUGUCUAGUCACUUAUAAUGGAGCAUGAUAAUGGGAGAAAAUAGAAUGUAUACAUGUAUGUGUAACUGGGUCACCAGGCUGCACAGCAGAAAAAAAAAGGUAUUGAGGAAAUUAAAAAAAUAAAAAA
RNAcentral lists this long non-coding RNA (2621 nucleotides) under Sus scrofa (pig). RNAcentral describes it as "lncRNA (ENSSSCG00065025309.1)". Lineage: Eukaryota; Metazoa; Chordata; Mammalia; Artiodactyla; Suidae. The record is from RNAcentral.